This is a long non-coding RNA of Canis lupus familiaris (dog), 548 nucleotides long. RefSeq lists it as uncharacterized. NCBI's taxonomy places the organism in Eukaryota, Metazoa, Chordata, Mammalia, Carnivora, Canidae. The record is from RefSeq and is a predicted model, not a curated record. The transcript has 2 exons.
GUCCGCACGCCCCGCGCCACGACCCGGCGAGCAGGCGGAGCAGAGCACCGGAGCUUCCACCCGGCCGGUCGCGGUGGGCGCCGCGGAGUGGCCUGGCCUCCGGCGGCCGUGAGGGCCCGUGUUGCACCGCAAGAUGCGGCUCCUCGGCCCACAGCCCGGCCCGCUGCCCUCCGCGGCCUCCCUAGCUGGGUCUCCUCAUCCCGAGCGGUGGGCCGCUGUCAGGAGGUCGUGAGGAGCCGCUCAGUGAACCUAUGUCCGACCCUGGUGACAGCCCUCGGCUCUCAUGAAUUGCUAGAGCCUUCUCUGGAGAAAAGCCCAACCUAGACCUCAAGAUGCUGACAAUUUGAUAAAGAAGAAGGCUGGACAUUUUGUUUUGUAAUACUUCUUUUCACUGAAGAAGUGGCGAUCCCAUUUGAUUUCCAUGUACUAAAUCCCUGUACAAAUCAAUACCACAAAUGCUCAUUGGGCAUCUUUUAUAUGCCUGCAACUCUCCCAGGCACCUGUGGUGGAGACCAUCAAAGAAGAGUAAACAGACUAUGUUAAGUAGA